GAUGAACGCUGGCGGCGUGCUUAACACAUGCAAGUCGAACGGAAAGGCUCCUGCUUGCAGGGGUACUCGAGUGGCGAACGGGUGAGUAACACGUGGGUGAUCUGCCCUGCACUUCGGGAUAAGCCUGGGAAACUGGGUCUAAUACCGGAUAGGACGAUGGUUUGGAUGCCAUUGUGGAAAGUUUUUUCGGUGUGGGAUGAGCUCGCGGCCUAUCAGCUUGUUGGUGGGGUAAUGGCCUACCAAGGCGUCGACGGGUAGCCGGCCUGUGAGGGUGUACGGCCACAUUGGGACUGAGAUACGGCCCAGACUCCUACGGGAGGCAGCAGUGGGGAAUAUUGCACAAUGGGCGCAAGCCUGAUGCAGCGACGCCGCGUGGGGGAUGACGGCCUUCGGGUUGUAAACUCCUUUCGCUAGGGACGAAGCGCAAGUGACGGUACCUGGAGAAGAAGCACCGGCUAACUACGUG
RNAcentral lists this ribosomal RNA (466 nucleotides) under uncultured bacterium. RNAcentral's name for it is "partial 16S ribosomal RNA". It matches the Rfam family "Bacterial small subunit ribosomal RNA", at positions 28 to 507 of the family's 1533-position model. The record is from RNAcentral.